UCUUGGCCGAUUUUGAGACUCGGCAGCGGUAACAGCAGGUUGUUUGUGCUGUUCGUUUGCUUAAAUUUCUGAGUUUUCGAGUGUAGAACUUCGUAUAGUUUUUUUUUUCAAGAACGGCAGUAACAACACCGCUUCAUUUCGGUUUGGAAAACGAUUUUAUUAUAUGAUUGAAGGGUUUCUACUUUGCUGGAAAUCGUGUUGCACGAUUUGGACGGCACGAACAGGCUGCUAGGGACGACCCAGCGUGAGCUAAUAUGCUGUUGCACUAUCAAAACAAUGGCAUACUGGCUGACAGGACCGCUGCUUGAGCAUCAUCUGCGACUCAAAGACUUCCAGGUCAUUGGGCUGAUGAAUUCAAAACAAGAAUAUCCGGGCCUGAAUAGCGGUGUGCAGUCUCCCAUGCCACCCCAGAUGGCCAAAGCUGUCACCUUUGGUGCAUUGCUUGGGUGGGUGCUGACUUAUUCUCACAUCUGUUGUCUUUAUUUGCCAUUGGUAGUGAACUGACCAUAGCCAUACCUUGGGCUAGCUUGCCACCUGGUGGACAGGGGCACGCUAUUAGCAGCAGGUGCUACGGUCACUUCCAGGUGACUGGGCUAAUGAAUUCGAAGCAAGCAUAUCCGGGCCUGAAUAGUGGUGUGCAGUCUCCCAUGCCACCCCAGAUGGCCAAAGCUGUCACCUUUGGUGCAUUGCUUUGGUGGGUGCUGACUUAUUCUCACAUCUGUUAACUUUAUUUGCCAUUGGUAGUGAAUGGACGAAUGCCCUACCUUGGGCUAGCUCACUACGUGGUGGAAAUGGACACACCAUUAACAGCUGGCACUAUAGUCACUUCCAGGUCAUUGGUCUAAAUGAAUUCAAAGCAAGCAUAUCCGGGCCUGAAUAGCGGUGUGCAGUCUCCCAUUCCACCCCAGAUGGCCAAAGCUGUCACCUUUGGUGCAUUGCUUGGGUGGGUGCUGACUUAUUCUCGCAUCUGUCGUCGUUAUGCGCCAUUGGUAGUGAGCUGAGCAUCUUCCCUACCUUGGCAUAGUUUGCUACCUGAUGGACAUGGGCAUGCCAUUAGCAUCAGGCUCUACGGUCACUUGCCCCUAUGCGUCGGGACUGAGAAAAUGUGUUUACUCUGGAAACUGGGUGGAUUGAGCACUGGUGGAGGGGUAAAACCCAGAGGUGCAGGAAGGCACUGACGAAAUCUCAAGCAAAAAGGAAAAAGAAAAAAAAGGAAAGCUGCCCCAAUAGGACCAAGAGGGCUGCCCUGCAAGUGUUCAAGUCAUUCUUGAAACAAGAGAUGCUCAAACUCUUGGGAAGCCCGGUUCUGCUCCAGGGUGCAGCAUGUGUUGUGAGGUUCGUCAGUGUUCAAAACAUUAAUAAAAAAAUGAAA
This is a long non-coding RNA of Dermacentor andersoni, 1372 nucleotides long. RefSeq lists it as uncharacterized. NCBI's taxonomy places the organism in Eukaryota, Metazoa, Arthropoda, Arachnida, Ixodida, Ixodidae. The record is from RefSeq and is a predicted model, not a curated record.